UACGGAGGGUGCAAGCGUUAUUCGGAAUUACUGGGCGUAAAGCGCGUGUAGGCGGGGAUACAAGUCUGAUGUGAAAGCCCUGGGCUUAACCUGGGAAGUGCAUUGGAAACUGUAUUUCUUGAGUACUGGAGAGGAAGGGGGAAUUCCCGGUGUAGAGGUGAAAUUCGUAGAGAUCGGGAGGAAUACCAGUGGCGUAGGCGCCUUUCUGGACGGUUACUGACGCUGAGACGCGAAAGCGUGGGGAGCAAACAGG
RNAcentral lists this ribosomal RNA (253 nucleotides) under uncultured Syntrophobacter sp. RNAcentral's name for it is "partial 16S ribosomal RNA". It matches the Rfam family "Bacterial small subunit ribosomal RNA", at positions 524 to 776 of the family's 1533-position model. The record is from RNAcentral. Lineage: Bacteria; Pseudomonadati; Thermodesulfobacteriota; Syntrophobacteria; Syntrophobacterales; Syntrophobacteraceae.